This 302-nucleotide ribosomal RNA is filed under the name uncultured bacterium. Its description in RNAcentral is "partial 16S ribosomal RNA". It matches the Rfam family "Bacterial small subunit ribosomal RNA", at positions 508 to 807 of the family's 1533-position model. The record is from RNAcentral.
GCAGUAGCCACGGUAAUGCGUAGGGUGCAAGCGUUAAUCGGAAUUACUGGGCGUAAAGCAUGCGCAGGCGGUUCGUUAAGGCAGAUGUGAAAUCCCCGGGCUUAACCUGGGAACUGCAUUUGUGACUGGCGGGCUAGAGUAUGGCAGAGGGGGGUAGAAUUCCACGUGUAGCAGUGAAAUGCGUAGGGAUGUGGAGGAAUACCGAUGGCGAAGGCAGCCCCCUGGGCCAAUACUGACGCUCAUGCACGAAAGCGUGGGGAGCAAACAGGAUUAGAUACCCGCGUAGUCCCUGUCUCUUAUAC